UACAGAGGUGGCAAGCGUUGUUCGGAAUUACUGGGCGUAAAGGGCGCGUAGGCGGUUCGAUAAGUCCCGUGUGAAAGCCCUCAGCUCAACUGAGGAAGUGCGCCCGAAACUGCAGAGCUUGAGUACCGGAGAGGGUGGCGGAAUUCCCCAAGUAGAGGUGAAAUUCGUAGAUAUGGGGAGGAACACCGGUGGCGAAGGCGGCCACCUGGACGGUCACUGACGCUGAGACGCGAAAGCGUGGGGAGCAAACAGG
RNAcentral lists this ribosomal RNA (253 nucleotides) under uncultured bacterium. RNAcentral's name for it is "partial 16S ribosomal RNA". It matches the Rfam family "Bacterial small subunit ribosomal RNA", at positions 524 to 776 of the family's 1533-position model. The record is from RNAcentral.